GUUUAACACUUCAAGCCAUCCAUCGAUAAAACUGCCCCGCUGUUCAGAAAAAACAAACAACGCACGCCUCCACGUCCUCUGGCACGACCUCGACCUCUCGCCCCUGCUCCUCCUCCCCCGCCGUUCGCCCUCUGCCCGUUCCUCGCCGCACCUCCCGAGCCUCCCGCCGCUCCUCCAUUCCUCCGGAGCCGCCUGCCACGCCCUUCGCCGCGGGAUCCCCUUCGUCGCGAGAGCCGCCGUCGAGCCCGUCCAUCGCGCCCGAGCCGCCCCGGAGCCGCCCUUCGCCGUGGCCCGCAGGUCGCCGAGCCGCCCUUCGACGCGGCCCGCAGGUUCCCCAGCCGCCGCCCUGGAGCCACCCUUCGCCGCAAGUCGCCGCCGCCGGAGCCGCCCUUCGCCACAUGUCUCCUCCCUUCUAGCCGCCCUGCCCUCACCGCUCUUGUCUUCAAGCCCAAGGUCCUUUCUUCAACCCACCGAUUCGUUUUCUGCAUUAUGAAUUGUUCCCGUCUAACAUCUACGCGAUCCAAUUACAAUAGAAGCAUAAAUCCCUAUAUAUAUGCAUAUGAAAUUUCAGAGUCCCCAAAGCUGAUUAGAGAGAGAGAGAGAGAUUAACACUUAUAGAGAUUGAUCGACUUAGGACAUACCCCCAUCUCUCCCAUGCCCUCUUUCUCUCACUUGUUUUUUCCUCUCUUAACUGCAUCAUUGAAGGAGGCUAGGACCGAGUGCAGGCCUGCGACCAGGAUCAACAGCAGGAGACAACGUUACAUUGUGGCUGUUAUUAAUACAACUUUGACCAAAGGGUUUAUUGUUUUUUGGCAGAUGGGCACUUGUUCACCUUUGUUGUAGCGUGGAGACUUGUUCCAGAUAUUUAAAUGUCUUUUUACGUAUCCUUUGUUUGUUCUCAAUUUGGAUGCUUUCAUGCAGAUCAAGUUAUUAUUGAGGACAAAUGAAGGGGUGCAUUGCAAUCUAGAUUUGACUAAAUGUGUGGCACAAUCUGUUGACAAACACAUUUACGUUUAAGUAUGUGUAGUAUGCUUCAGGUAAUUAACCACAACAUUUGUUUCGUCAAUUAUUUCCUUUUCAUUCAGUGAAUGUCCUUUUGUUAAAAAGCGUGAGUUGAAUGUGUAAGUACGGAAAAGGUUCUCCCAUUGGGUUGCCACUACAACGAAAUAAACAUGUAAAUGACUGUUAAACAUACUCUAUUUUUGUAAUUCAAAGGCAAUGUUUCUGCCGGUCUCUUGAAAGAAAUAAAAGAAAUGCAGCCUUUAUAACUGAAUCUCUACAUUCAUUUUUGGAGAUCAGAGAGCUAUAUAUUAACUAGUUAUUAUGUUGCACACUGCAUUCAAUUUAGUGAGCUUGUUAUUUUUCUGAUCGGAUUCAGUGGUAAUGGAAUUGGGUGGUGAAGAAAACUAGCAAGCUGCAUAGGAGAAAUUCAUAUGUGCACCCGCAUGAAUAAUAAUUUUCCAAAUGUCAAAUAGUUCUAGAAAAAAUAUACAUAUAAAUAUCUGAAUCAUCUGUGUCUUUGUAAAAUUAGUGGAAAAAUGAUUUGGAAGGAUGAGGUUGCUUUAGUCUUGACCACGAAGUGCUCUCUGGUAGCGCUGUCGCGGCCAGUCGGCCACUCGCUCUCCAAAUCCUGCAGCUGUGCAUGGGUCCGAUGGACAGGCAUGGCGGCUCAAACCUGCGGGCUCCACGAUCACCACGGCGCUGCCUCAUGGCCUUGCCGCUGGCACUCACCGAACCCUCACCGGAUUGUCGACCCCACAACUAACCAUCACCCUCAUCUCAUUAGUUGGCUUCCCCCUACUGGAUCUGAAUUUUUUUGGUUGGUUUGCAAAGUGCAGAUGUGUGACCUCCUCUAUGAUGAAGGCAUCGAGGAGAUGAACUUUUGCUUCUCAAGCUUUGAUUUAGUUGAGAUGUUUAAGCAAUAUUGGUCACUUCCAAGUAAAUUUUAUGAUGAUGUGAUAUAUGUCUACUAAUUUCCAUUUUUUCCCCUUUGUGUUCAGGUAUCUAUACUAAAGGUUGCAGUACAACACUAGUUGGUUACAAUUUUGUAGAUUUCCUUUUACCCUUAGUUUGUGCUCCCUCCGAUCCAAAUAUAAGUGCCGCAGCUUUGAACUAAGGUGUUCAACCUUAGUUCAAAACUGCGACACUUAUUAUGGAUCGGAGGAAGUAGUAAAUGCCCAUUAGUAUAGUCCCUUAAGGCCUAAAAAGUAGCAUAGGAUAUGGGAGCAAAAGGUUCAAUGAAAACUUUUAAAACCUGAGGUGCAAGUAUAUUUUGUAGGCUUGUGGAUUGUGGUGCAUGUUCACAUGUACGAGCUAGAACUUCCUUUGUGUUGGCGGAAGUGUUAGCCUGCCAUUAUCAGUUGAGUAUAGGGCCUGACCAGCGUUUUGGUCUUUCAUUUACUUUUUACCAACUCAAGUAAAAUGUUUGAAAUCUUAUAUCGACCACAUCACUAGAAUUUGGUUGGACUAUGGUUGCAUGUUUAAGUCGAAAGAGGGAUCGACCUUCAACGUUACCUCGUCAGGUUGUUUAGUUCCAACGAGGUCUAAAUCCAUUCCCCCAUCUUGUGCCGAUUGCCUUCUUAGUACUAAUGUUUCCCCUUAGUGACAUUGUCUAUUUGGUGUCCUUUUUUGUAUAAAAUUACUUUAUGAUGUUCAUCCUGCUAAGCUGCAGGGGUAAUAGUGCUUCCAGUAUUUGUAAUUUUGAAAGUGCUUCCAGUAACCAUCUCCGCUCUACAAUAAUAGUGCUUCCAGUCAUGGAUCAGAUGGCUUAGUAUGUGACAGAGGCUCUUUGCUCCAAUCAAUCAGUGGGAGAUCAAAUAGCUUAAGCUUGCUGUACACAAUGCAAUGUAACUAGAAUGGUCUUUAUCUUUUAAUCAGUUUCCCGGUUAUAUUUCUUCUAGAAUUUAGUUUGUUUACUUUGUGAUUUAUUGGCAUUUUGUUAGAUGAUACAUGCUUCUAACUACAAUACAGAUCAGGUCCAAAAUCAGGAUACAUGACAGCUGCAAAGCAAAUAUAUCAAAGUUGCUCGGGUGGAUCUAUUGUGGUUCAAGCUCCUCAGGUGGAUCUAAUCAAGACAACUUAUUGACCGUCUUCCAUUUCAACUGCAGCAAUAUGGGGUGGCGCAUGUGGAGUAGGAGGGUAGAAGAGAAGAUGGAGAAGGUGGUUAUUCUGGCCUUACGUUGAGUGUUGAAUCUGGGAUAUAUGAAAAUACUUGAGUUGAAGAAGAUCCGGUACUGGAUAUAAAUGAUUGAGGAGACGCAUGACUUAAAUAAAAAGAGUUGUGAGAAUAUGAAAUAAGAAAAUUACUGUUUCUGAUUGAGUCUUAAUCUAAAGACGACAUUUCUAUGACGCUUGCAUUCAC
This 3361-nucleotide ribosomal RNA is filed under the name Triticum aestivum (bread wheat). Its description in RNAcentral is "partial small subunit ribosomal RNA". The record is from RNAcentral. Lineage: Eukaryota; Viridiplantae; Streptophyta; Magnoliopsida; Poales; Poaceae.